ACGUUAGCGGCGGACGGGUGAGUAACACGUGGGUAACCUACCUAUAAGACUGGGAUAACUUCGGGAAACCGGAGCUAAUACCGGAUAAUAUUUCGAACCGCAUGGUUCGAUAGUGAAAGAUGGUUUUGCUAUCACUUAUAGAUGGACCUGCGCCGUAUUAGCUAGUUGGUAAGGUAACGGCUUACCAAGGCGACGAUACGUAGCCGACCUGAGAGGGUGAUCGGCCACACUUGAACUGAGACACGUUCCAGACUCCUACGGGAGGCAGCAGCC
This 273-nucleotide ribosomal RNA is filed under the name uncultured Staphylococcus sp. RNAcentral describes it as "partial 16S ribosomal RNA". It matches the Rfam family "Bacterial small subunit ribosomal RNA", at positions 89 to 355 of the family's 1533-position model. Lineage: Bacteria; Bacillati; Bacillota; Bacilli; Caryophanales; Staphylococcaceae. The record is from RNAcentral.